RNAcentral lists this long non-coding RNA (536 nucleotides) under Rosa chinensis. RNAcentral describes it as "sRNA RchiOBHm_Chr7g0203851". The record is from RNAcentral. Lineage: Eukaryota; Viridiplantae; Streptophyta; Magnoliopsida; Rosales; Rosaceae.
CGGCCAACGACCCACUUCUAAUCCAAAUCGUCCGGAAUGACCUCGUUGUAACCUGAAAUGUAGGGGUGAGCAUUUCGUCCUCGCUAGCCCAAUAGGGGCCGACCCAACCUUAGUUAGGUUUGAAAACUAAUAGGUAAAACAUAACUAUUAGAAUAUAGAUUGCGCGCAUUUGUAAAAUCGAGUAAAACAAAUGCAAACAAAAACAAUCAGAGUUGUUUCGUUUCAGGAAAUCAUAUGCAGCAUGCUUCACACAACUUGGAGCUCCGAGAUACUUACCUGCCGGCUAAACUAAAAUAAAUCGGUGACCGACCUGGUUCGUCAUCCUUCGAGAACCGGCCAACUACUCUAUAGUCUUUAGGGCUACAAGUAGCGAAAGUGUCCAUUUCCUGGCUCUGAGUCUCCUAUGACUGGUUCACUGUCUGUACUCACCUUUCCUCGACAAACAUAGGAGCACAGCCCCCUCCGGAGGUUCACAGUUAUCGACACCGUGGGAUCCCUAGGAAUCUACUCGUCUAGGUCCCAUUCACUUUCAGGUC